Molecule: long non-coding RNA, 339 nt
Organism: Vicia villosa (hairy vetch)
Lineage: Eukaryota; Viridiplantae; Streptophyta; Magnoliopsida; Fabales; Fabaceae
Exons: 3
Source: RefSeq, a predicted model, not a curated record
AGAUUGAAAGAUGAUUGGAGUUUUCACAUAUUACAUGGCCUUCAAAAAGGAACUCUCAGCAAAUAUGAUUUGUUUUUCAGGGUUUAGCAAGUCUCAUUUGCAUGUCUGGUUACUCUAAAAAUUGGUUCACCUCUCCAACAAUGUUAUUAGGUAUUUUAACCAUUGAUUUUCAUAGUAGCAUGUUUACUCUGAGGUAAUUUUUUUGAGAGAUUUUCUUCAAAGUUCAACUUUUGUGUCCUUCAUUUAUAGGGUGAUCUUCUUAUACAAGAUGAAUCUAACUUUUGGUGUCUUAUUACUUCUAUGCUUUUUUUCAAGGUUAAAGUAUUCCUACAACUCAUU